GAUGAACGCUGGCGGCGUGCCUAAUACAUGCAAGUCGAGCGAACAGACGAGGAGCUUGCUCCUCUGACGUUAGCGGCGGACGGGUGAGUAACACGUGGAUAACCUACCUAUAAGACUGGGAUAACUUCGGGAACCCGGAGCUAAUACCGGAUAAUAUAUUGAACCGCACGGUUCAAUAGUGAAAGACGGUUUUGCUGUCACUUAUAGAUGGAUCCGCGCCGCAUUAGCUAGUUGGUAAGGUAACGGCUUACCAAGGCAACGAUGCGUAGCCGACCUGAGAGGGUGAUCGGCCACACUGGCACUGAGACACGGUCAAGACUCCUACGGGAGGCAGCAGUAGGGAAUCUUACGCAAUGGGCGUGAGCUUGACGGAGCAACGCCGCGUGAGUGAUGAAGGUCAUCGGAUCGUAAAACGCUGUUAUUAGGGAAGAACAAAUGUGUAAGUAACUAUGCACGUCUUGACGGUACCUAAUCAGAAAGCCACGGCUAACUACGUGC
RNAcentral lists this ribosomal RNA (498 nucleotides) under uncultured bacterium. RNAcentral describes it as "partial 16S ribosomal RNA". It matches the Rfam family "Bacterial small subunit ribosomal RNA", at positions 28 to 508 of the family's 1533-position model. The record is from RNAcentral.